CCGAAAGUAGCGGCGAGCGAAAUUGGACUAGCCCUUAAGCUUUACACGCGUUAGACGAACGGUCUGGAAAGUCCGACGAUACAGGGUGAUAGUCCCGUAGUUGACGACGUGUGUUCAGUGAAAUCGAGUAGGGCGGGACACGUGAUAUCCUGUCUGAAUAUGGGGGGACCAUCCUCCAAGGCUAAAUACUACUGACUGACCGAUAGUGAACCAGUACCGUGAGGGAAAGGCGAAAAGAACCCCUGUGAGGGGAGUGAAAUAGAACCUGAAACCGUGUACGUACAAGCAGUAGGAGCA
RNAcentral lists this ribosomal RNA (297 nucleotides) under Vibrio parahaemolyticus. RNAcentral describes it as "partial 23S ribosomal RNA". It matches the Rfam family "Bacterial large subunit ribosomal RNA", at positions 237 to 581 of the family's 2925-position model. Lineage: Bacteria; Pseudomonadati; Pseudomonadota; Gammaproteobacteria; Vibrionales; Vibrionaceae. The record is from RNAcentral.